GCUGGGCAUGGUGGCGCACGCCUGUAAUCCCAGCUACUUGGGAGGCUGAGGCAGGAGAAUCACUUGAACCCAGGAGGCGGAGGUUGUGGUGAGCCAGGAUUGCACCACUGCACUCCAGCCUGGGCAACAGAGUGAGACUCUGUCUCAA
Molecule: non-coding RNA, 148 nt
Filed under: Nomascus leucogenys (northern white-cheeked gibbon)
Lineage: Eukaryota; Metazoa; Chordata; Mammalia; Primates; Hylobatidae
Source: Rfam by way of RNAcentral